GACGGAGGGUGCUAGCGUUGUUCGGAAUCACUGGGCGUAAAGGGCGCGUAGGCGGCGCCGCAAGUCGGCCGUGAAAGCCCGGGGCUCAACCCCGGAGGUGCGACCGCGACUGCGGUGCUGGAGGCCGGAAGAGGAGGGUGGAAUACCCAGUGUAGAGGUGAAAUUCGUAGAUAUUGGGUGGAACACCGGUGGCGAAAGCGGCUCUCUGGUCCGGUCCUGACGCUGAGGCGCGAAAGCGUGGGGAGCAAACAGG
RNAcentral lists this ribosomal RNA (253 nucleotides) under uncultured bacterium. RNAcentral's name for it is "partial 16S ribosomal RNA". It matches the Rfam family "Bacterial small subunit ribosomal RNA", at positions 524 to 776 of the family's 1533-position model. The record is from RNAcentral.